Long non-coding RNA from Megalobrama amblycephala (Wuchang bream), 478 nucleotides. RefSeq lists it as uncharacterized. The record is from RefSeq and is a predicted model, not a curated record. Lineage: Eukaryota; Metazoa; Chordata; Actinopteri; Cypriniformes; Xenocyprididae. The transcript has 2 exons.
GUGUGGUGGUUUAUGGCGCAUGUUUGUAUGCAGCACCAAAACUGGUCAAAUCGGCCCGUAUUCUGUAUGAGAUUAAUUCAUAAAGUGUUGUAUGCUUGACUAUGUGUAACGGAGUUUAAAAAUAAUGUUAGUUAAAUUCAGCAUAAAUUGGGAAACUCGCCAUUGGCUGUUACGUCACUCGCGUUAGUGCACAUCAGAGCCAUAGAGAGAGAGAGUUGCGACAACUCCAUAGACUCCAAUGGAACGGUUUUUUACAGCAAUGGCGGCUCGUGGAGCCUCUCAAUAGUUCCCGGAAGUAGCAGCCGCGCCGUAGAGUUACAGCAGAACAGACCGUUUGUGAUGUACUUUUAAAAGCACAAAGGGGAUUCAGAUCCUGAAGACUCCAUGCAAUGAUGCUGUCACCGCCAGUCUCUGCUCCUUGGAUUUUGCAAGCUUUUCCUUGCUCCUUAUUUUUAAUAAACCUUUAAUAAACAUAAAA